CUAAUCAGAAAUUCAUAUGUGGGAACAUCUAAUUUUGCUGUGUAAUCACAACAAUCUAAAAUUUUCAACAUCUUGGCAGUCCUCGGGCCCAAAAUGACCUAUGUUAUCGACUUUAUUUCAAAACAGGUUGCAAAAUUGGAUGUUCCCACAUAUGAAUUUCUGAUUGGAAAGAUGUAGAUAAAUUAGAAAUUUGAAUUCUGAUAGGAUAUCAAAUCAUUCAAGUAGACACAGCCAAAAGCAACUGAAGGUUAGAGAUAGAAAUAUUCUUUGGUGAUUUGUCAGUAUAGAAAUACUAGUUAAAAUUGUGGAAGCAGAAGAGCUGUGAAGGAGGGAAUCCACACGGAGGAGAAUAUAGCCAGAGAAUCAAAGGAAGGUGCUGGAUCUUGUUCUUUCAUCCAGGCUGGAGUGCAAUGGUGUGAUUAUGGCUCACUGCAGCCCCAACCCUCCAGGCCCAAGCAAUCCUUCCACUUCAGCCUCCUGAGCAGCUGGGACCACAGACUAAUGUCACCUGGACCUUGGGGCUGCUCUGCCACAGCCGGAAGACACCAGGGAAGCCCAGGCAGCAUGAACAGCAAUGCCUGACUUUGCAAUAGUAAGUUUCUUCUCCUCCAGGAUUUGUCAAUUUUGAUUUUGCAGCUCAGUCAGUGAUGCCAUGUGCUGUUUGCCUCCUGUCUGAGUUACAAAAUAAAGAAUCAUUUUCUCUUCCAAGGUGACAAAUUUAAAAAAAAUAAAAAUAUAAAACUUUAUCUUUCCAUAUCUAUUAUAUUUUCUACCUGGAUGCAUACACUUUUGAGCAUAUGAACCAUAGAAACUCUGAGGAAAAGGAGAUACUGUAGAAGCUGUCAUGUUACAUCAUCUGCUCCUAAAUGAACAGAACUCCCCUUAAAUAUUAACCAUCAUUAUUAGUAUGUGAUAGCAGUGGGUAACAAGAAGAUAAAAUGUAAAGAAUAAAGAUAAAUUUUCUUAGGAUUCAUUAUUAACAUUGAAAUCUGAAAUUCUAGGAAAGAAUGUAAAUAGUCUAAAUAGUAAAAUAUGUUGUGUCUUCGAUCACUAAUAAAAUGAUGAAAGUUUUAAUGCAGAUUUAUCAGUCUUUUCUUCUGGGAUUGCUUGCUCAUAUAUUGCUUAUGUUCUAAAUUCUAGAACUCUAUUCUCCUUUGUUUUUACU
This 1165-nucleotide long non-coding RNA is filed under the name Callithrix jacchus (white-tufted-ear marmoset). RNAcentral describes it as "lncRNA (ENSCJAG00000074539.1)". Lineage: Eukaryota; Metazoa; Chordata; Mammalia; Primates; Cebidae. The record is from RNAcentral.